Molecule: non-coding RNA, 74 nt
Organism: Potamilus streckersoni
Lineage: Eukaryota; Metazoa; Mollusca; Bivalvia; Unionida; Unionidae
Source: the annotation of a GenBank genome assembly
UGCUCUGGUGGCCUAGUGGUUAUAGUGUCCACCUUGGAUGUGGGAGGUUGCAGGUUCAAACCCCGGCUGAGUCA